GACGAACGCUGGCGGCGUGCUUAACACAUGCAAGUCGAACGGACAGGCCCUGCUUUUGUGGGGUGCUCGAGUGGCGAACGGGUGAGUAACACGUGAGUAACCUGCCCUUGACUUUGGGGUAACUUCAGGAAACUGGGGCUAAUACCCGAUAGGAUCUCCUGCUGCAUGGUGGGGGUUGGAAAGAUUCGGCGGUUGGGGAUGGACUCGCGGCUUAUCAGCUUGUUGGUGGGGUAGUUGCUUACCAAGGCUUUGACGGGUAGCCGGCCUGAGAGGGUGACCGGGCACAUUGGGACUGAGAGACGGCCCAGACGCCAACGGGAGGCAGCAGGGGGGAAUAUGGCACAAUGGGCGGAAGCCUGAGGCAGAAACGCCGCGUGCGGGAUGACGGCCUUCGGGUUAUAAACAGCUUUCGCCUGUGACGAAGAGUGAGUGACGGUAAUGGGUAAAGAAGCACCGGCUAACUACGUG
RNAcentral lists this ribosomal RNA (468 nucleotides) under uncultured bacterium. RNAcentral's name for it is "partial 16S ribosomal RNA". It matches the Rfam family "Bacterial small subunit ribosomal RNA", at positions 28 to 507 of the family's 1533-position model. The record is from RNAcentral.